RNAcentral lists this ribosomal RNA (233 nucleotides) under uncultured Galactomyces. Its description in RNAcentral is "partial large subunit ribosomal RNA". It matches the Rfam family "Eukaryotic large subunit ribosomal RNA", at positions 37 to 282 of the family's 3401-position model. The record is from RNAcentral. Lineage: Eukaryota; Fungi; Ascomycota; Dipodascomycetes; Dipodascales; Dipodascaceae.
UGCAUAUCAAUAAGCGCGGAGGAAAAGAAACCAACAGGGAUUGCCUUAGUAACGGCGAGUGAAGCGGCAAAAGCUCAAAUUUGAAAUCGGCCACCAGGUCGAGUUGUAAUUUGUAGAUUGUAUCUUGAGAGCGGAUUAAAGUCUGUUGGAACACAGCGCCUUAGAGGGUGACAGCCCCGUAAAAUCUAUUCUCAUUGUAAGAUACUUUCGAAGAGUCGAGUUGUUUGGGAAUA